RNAcentral lists this ribosomal RNA (253 nucleotides) under uncultured bacterium. Its description in RNAcentral is "partial 16S ribosomal RNA". It matches the Rfam family "Bacterial small subunit ribosomal RNA", at positions 524 to 776 of the family's 1533-position model. The record is from RNAcentral.
UACGAAGGGGGCUAGCGUUGCUCGGAAUCACUGGGCGUAAAGGGUGCGUAGGCGGGUCUUUAAGUCAGGGGUGAAAUCCUGGAGCUCAACUCCAGAACUGCCUUUGAUACUGAAGAUCUUGAGUUCGGGAGAGGUGAGUGGAACUGCGAGUGUAGAGGUGAAAUUCGUAGAUAUUCGCAAGAACACCGGUGGCGAAGGCGGCUAUCUGGCCCGUAAUUGACGCUGAGGCGCGAAAGCGUGGGGAGCAAACAGG